CCUAAAAGUUGCUCUGUUAAUGAAAUAGGAUCCGAGACUCCUUUCAGGGUUACACAGGGGGGUAGGAGAGAGUUUCAGGGUAGGAGAGUCCUACCCAACUCCUAUUCCGUCACGUCCUCGUCGUACAGAGUGGUAACUUUUCCCACCAUAUAUCUAAGCUUGGGUACACGGACCUGUCCCAACCCCUUGGGCGGAUGGUGGAGAAAGGCUAAACAGGAGGAG
Molecule: non-coding RNA, 222 nt
Organism: Anopheles stephensi (Asian malaria mosquito)
Lineage: Eukaryota; Metazoa; Arthropoda; Insecta; Diptera; Culicidae
Source: Rfam